This 1909-nucleotide long non-coding RNA is filed under the name Solanum lycopersicum (tomato). RNAcentral describes it as "long non-coding RNA (SLYC_LNC000803)". The record is from RNAcentral. Lineage: Eukaryota; Viridiplantae; Streptophyta; Magnoliopsida; Solanales; Solanaceae.
AUGAAAGUAAUAUUUACUAAAUAAUAUAUUUUUAACAUGUUAUAUUAUAUUAAAAAGAAUUAUGAACACUAAAAAUUUAAUUAAUAGCCUUAUGUGAAAAAUAAAAUGUUAGUUACAAAUAGUAGAAUUAUAUUAAAAUAAUGAAAAAGUGAAAUAGUAGUUUUGUAUAUUUAGAGAACUAUUAUCCACCUCUAUAUAAAUAGAGGAUAAAGAGCCUUUUAGAGAGUGGUUGGAGAUCCAAUUCUCUAUUUUAUUAUCCAAAUAUAGAGAAUGGAGAGUAAAAUAGAAGAAUUGAAAAUGGUCGUACGAAUAAAUGGUUGAUACUAGCUUAUCCUUAAAAUGUCGUUUUGUUGCUGGUUAGAAAGCAACUUAUUUAUUUAUUUAUUAUAUUUUGCAUAGUUUAUAUUAUAUUAAGUAUUUUUGUAUGUCAUUUUAUAUGAGUUAAUUUGAUUUGAUAUAAAAUUUAAGUAUCACGAUUCUGUCGAUCCAGACCAUCAUGAAUAGUGAUCCAUACUAACUCCACGAGAGAACCAACUCUCAACUCAAAGAGUAACUUAAAACUUGUGAAGUCAUAAUAAAAAUAUAAGGGAAGUAUUUCAAAACUCCUAAAGAAUUGAGUUACCAUAAACUCAAUUAAAAGUGACAAUAUUUGAAAAAAUAAACCCCUAGAAACUGAUGGAAGUUGUAGUAACAAAACUUCAAAUAGACAAAAUGGGGAUGCAACCACGAAAGUGACACAAAAAUCUAAUAACCCAAAGUCUGUGUCCGAAAAGAUAGACAAAAAGAUGUAGAGAAAUCCAUGAUAGUUUAAAAAAGUAGUUUACCGUUCGAUUUAAAUUCAAAAAUCUCUUAAUUGAGGUCUCGUAUCUUCAAAUUCAAGCUUCUUAAACUUGUAAUUUUCGGAAGCUUCAUCCACAAUAAUGAAAGUGCCCAAUCAAAUUUUUUUGGUUAAAUGAGUAUUUGAUUUCAGCACAAAAUCAAUCAGUUUUUCUAUUUCGAACUCUGACAAGGUAUAAUUAUUUUAUGAAAUUUCAUGACCAAUUUACUUUUAUUAAAAAAUUAUAUAAGAGAAAAAGUAAAAAAAUAUUUCAAUAAGAAUAAAUAGAAAAGAAAGUUGGAAUGUGAAAAAAUGAAAGCAAAAAUAAGUUGAUUAAAUAGGCCAAAAAAUCAAAAUGUUGAGUCGAACCCCUUUCCUUACAGUCAAGUGGCCCAAGGGCCUUUUCUUUUUUCAAUCUUUGAUCCAAAAAGCAAAAUAUAUGUACAUUUUUUAUAUAUUGAUGGACCAAAAGGCAAAAUAUAUGUAUAUUUUUUAAUUUAUUUUUUAUUUUUUUAUGAGGUGGAGGGGGAGGGAGGGGGGAGAUCUAAAUUAAUAGAAUGAGAGAUAAGGAUGAGCUUCAGAUAAUCUACAUGAUGAGAUUCUGUUACAAAUGCAGAAACUGAUAGAGAAUGAUAGAUAAAGAAAAAGAAAAAAGAUGAAGACUUAACGAGAGUUGUGAGCCACCACACAAAAUGAGACACCUCUGUUGAAAUCACUUCAUAACCACCGAUCCACCGAAGAUAUAUCUACAAGAGAAAAGAGAAUAAAAAAUGAAGAAUAAAGGAAAGAACAAGCUGGAAAACUACCUAUGCGAGCUGAGAAAGAGUGAAAACAUGGCAACUAAGAGAAAAGUGUUAAUGAUCCAAAGCGACUGACAGAGAAAAAUUUUAUUUUACUACGCUCCCUGCGGCGACAUGAAGAGAAAGAAAGGAAGUUCAAUUCAGAAACCCUACGUUUUAAGAUACAUGAUAUAGAAGCCAAUAGCUUCACUUAAUGGGCUGGACUAUUUUUUUGAUUGUUUUCUUGGGCUAAGCAUACUUUGGGUUGAUCUUUUCAGUACAAACUUAAAUAAUAAUUAAACAUGGAAAAAUG